RNAcentral lists this unclassified non-coding RNA (261 nucleotides) under fungal sp. RNAcentral describes it as "partial internal transcribed spacer region". Lineage: Eukaryota; Fungi. The record is from RNAcentral.
AAGUGAACCUGCGGAAGGAUCAUUAACACGUAUCCAACGUUAAAACAACCCUGUGAACCUUCAAUUUUGCUCGCGUGGCUCCAUCAAAAAAGCAGCAAUCCCUGGUAAAUCAUUGUCGACCAGAUUUUGAGUCAGGGACCUCUGCCGAUGAGAGUUACGCUCGUAGCGAUGCAAGCGACCUGGCACCCCGCCGACAGGUCGCGAUAAUUCCGCUGACCACAAAAAACCGAACAACUGUUAACAAUGGAUAUCUUGGUUCUC